Molecule: transfer RNA, 72 nt
Filed under: Dermatophagoides pteronyssinus (European house dust mite)
Lineage: Eukaryota; Metazoa; Arthropoda; Arachnida; Sarcoptiformes; Pyroglyphidae
Description: tRNA-Pro
Rfam family: tRNA
About the family: Transfer RNA (tRNA) molecules are approximately 80 nucleotides in length. Their secondary structure includes four short double-helical elements and three loops (D, anti-codon, and T loops).
Source: Rfam by way of RNAcentral
GGCUGCUUGGUCUAGUGGUAUGAUUCUUCGUUCGGGACGAAGAAGUCCUGGGUUCGAUUCCCAGAGCAGCCC